UCUCACUGUUCUUUUCCCAAACACACAAGAUCUCACAAUCCCAGCAAGAGGAAAUGACUUAGGGAUGAAGGCUUCAGAGGAGGAAAAAAAAAUAGAGGCUUCCAAUAAAAAUCAUUUCUAGAAGGAAUGAAGCUGUUAUUGGCAAGUCAACCAGUGAGAGAGACGACUUUGGAAAGAAAGAAGUUCUAUCUUCUAUCCACAUGUCUGUUAGAGAAUGUUUGCAGGUAUUUCCUGGGGGCUUCCCUGGUGGCUCAGAUGGUAAAGAGUCUGCCUGCAGUACAGGAGACCAGGGUUCGAUCCCUGGAUUUGGAAGAUCUGAUGGAGAAGGGAAUGGCUACCAACUCCAGUAUUCUUGCCUAGAGAAUUCCACAGACAGAGGAUCCUGGAGAGCCACAGUACACGGGAUUGCAAAGAGCUGGACAAGACUGACUAACACUAUUACCCUCCUACAGGUAUUUGCUAUUGGACGAUGUGUUAUUAGCUGCUUUUGUGCUUGCUUAUUUGAUCAGUUAUGUUGACUCUUUGUGACCCCAUGGACUGUAACCUACAAGGCUCCUCUGUCCAUGGGAUUUCCCAGACAAGAAUACUGAAAUGGGCUGCCAUUUCCUCCUCCAGGGUAUCUUCCCAACCCAGGGAUUGAACCCACAUCUCCUGCACUGGCAGGAGGAUUCUUUACCACUAAGCCAACUGGGAAGCCUGUGUUAUUAAUUACCUUCAGAGUAAACAUGUUAUGAGAAAUGGAGCCCUUCUCUUCUCUAGGGAUUUGUGAUUCCCCAAGAACUCUUCUCGGCAUAUCCUCAACUCUGAUGCUUUCUUCUCUACCGGGGAAGACGAGCAGAGAAAGUCCAUGCAUUUGUCAGUCUUGGCCCCUGGUGAUAACUGUGCCAUGGAGGCAGCAGGCAUUUGGAACUGCCAUGUCAUCAAGGUGAGGCUGACCCUUGAUUCAGCCAAGUGAGGCCCCCAAAUGCCAAAUGGCAUCUACUUCAGUCCAACUAGAAUGUGUUUAUGAAUCACUUCAGAUCUUGUUACAAAUGCCAGUCUUGAGUGAGGGGUUCUAGAUUCUCUACUUCUAACAAGCUUGGGUGCCUGUGGCCAGCCAAGGGACAGAUGCUGCUCAUCCAUAGACAGUACCCUGAGUACCAUGGUUUAAUACGUUGGGCCCCUUCCUUUCAAUCAAAUGUCACACAUUUUAAAACAAACUUCUGAAUGUCAUAGAAAUCUAGGCCCAAGCCUAGGAGAAUGGAAAAUCAUGGCUCCAGAACCACAGAUACAAUCUGAUCAAAAGGAUAUUUUGAGGUCAGAUGAAACGUACUGCAAACAUGAGUCAGUGAAAGCAAGAAAGAGCUGAGACUCACAAAGAAAACCAACGGCCAGGAGGUGGAGAUCCAGUCUCUUCUUAACUGUUCAAAGUCACCAGCUGAUAAUGACAUCAGUUUCAGUAUGUUCAAUUUUAUUUGUUGAUGUUUUUGAUCUAAUUAUGUUUAAUGCGUACAUAUCUUUUAUUGCAAGCAAGUUCAAAUCUGCUUUUUUUACAAAAGAAAUCCAUAGGUUGAAAAACGAAACCAUCACAAAAUAAAAAUUUAUUCUUCUUCCU
Long non-coding RNA from Bos indicus x Bos taurus (hybrid cattle), 1594 nucleotides. NCBI's taxonomy places the organism in Eukaryota, Metazoa, Chordata, Mammalia, Artiodactyla, Bovidae. The record is from Ensembl.